This 101-nucleotide transfer RNA is filed under the name Streptomyces sp. M56. RNAcentral describes it as "tRNA-Lys". Lineage: Bacteria; Bacillati; Actinomycetota; Actinomycetes; Kitasatosporales; Streptomycetaceae. The record is from RNAcentral.
GCAGCCGGAGCGCCUGGGCGCGCAGCGCCUGCUCGUUCUUGCCGGACAGCACGAUCGGGACCAGGGGCGGCUCGGUCCGCUCCGGCUCGGGCUCGCCGCUC